RNAcentral lists this ribosomal RNA (151 nucleotides) under uncultured Rhizobiaceae bacterium. RNAcentral describes it as "partial 16S ribosomal RNA". It matches the Rfam family "Bacterial small subunit ribosomal RNA", at positions 387 to 555 of the family's 1533-position model. Lineage: Bacteria; Pseudomonadati; Pseudomonadota; Alphaproteobacteria; Hyphomicrobiales; Rhizobiaceae. The record is from RNAcentral.
AUCAGCCAUGCCGCGUGAGUGAUGAAGGCCUUAGGGUUGUAAAGCUCUUUCACCGGUGAAGAUAAUGACGGUAUUCGGAGAAGAAGCCCCGGCUAACUUCGUGCCAGCAGCCGCGGUAAUCCUCAGGGGGCUAGCGUUGUUCGGAAUUACU